Sorghum bicolor (sorghum) is the source of this 3592-nucleotide RNA transcript. It is a transcript of the gene named receptor kinase-like protein Xa21, with no coding region annotated. Lineage: Eukaryota; Viridiplantae; Streptophyta; Magnoliopsida; Poales; Poaceae. The record is from RefSeq and is a predicted model, not a curated record. The transcript has 2 exons.
CGUGAGCAAAAUCAUCAUCGUCAUAGUCAGCCGACGCAAAGAAACAAAGCUCGCCGCCACAAAACCGAGAGCCGCCGCCGCCGGCCAUGCUGCUCCUAACACUAAGACCCCGCAGGCGCCUGCUGCAGCUGCUACUGCUGAUCUCCGCCGCUGCGACAAUCAGUGCAGCAGCAGCCUUGUAUUCGUCAUACCAUGGCGAGGACGAGAGAGCUCUUCUGGCUUUCAAGGCCAAAUUCUCCAGCGACUCUGGUGCGCUGGCCUCCUGGAACCAGAGCACCAGCUACUGCAGCUGGGAUGGCGUCACCUGCAGCAGGAGGCACCGGUGGAGGGUGGUCGCUCUGGACCUCAGCUCCCAGGGGCUCGCCGGCACCAUCUCUCCUGCUAUCGGUAACCUCACUUUCCUACACUCGCUGAACCUGAGCUCCAACUGUCUGCAGGGAGAGAUCCCUCCCAGCAUCGGUUCCCUGAGGCGCCUUCAGCGCAUUGACCUGGGCUUUAACAUGCUCACCGGCAUCAUCCCGAGCAACAUUAGCCGUUGCAUCAGCCUCCGUGAGAUGCACAUCUACAGCAACAAGGGAGUCCAAGGAAUCAUCCCAGCUGAGAUUGGCAACAUGCCAUCGCUUUCAGUCCUAAAGCUGUCAAACAACAGCAUUACCGGAACUAUCCCAUCUUCUCUCGCAAACCUUUCAAGGCUGACCGAGUUGGCCUUGUCAGAUAACUAUCUUGAGGGAUCAAUCCCUGCAGGCAUCGGGAACAAUCCCUAUCUCGGUUUCCUUGAGCUCUCCCGUAAUAAUCUCUCCGGUUUGCUCCCUCCUUCCCUGUUCAACCUGUCAUCUCUUUAUUACUUUUUUGCGUCUGUCAAUCAGCUCCAGGGUCAUCUACCAUCUGACCUGGGGAGAAGCCUUCCGAGCAUCCAACAGCUUGGGAUUGUAGAAAACCGAUUUACUGGAGCUCUUCCACUGUCGCUAACCAAUCUCUCUAGGCUCCAGAGUCUUCACGCCGGAUCCAAUAGUUUUAAUGGAAUCGUUCCUUCCGCAUUGGGAAAAUUGCAAAAUCUUGAACUGUUUACUAUGGGUAAUAACAUGUUAGAAGCAAACAAUGAGGAAGAGUGGGAAUUUAUUGGUUCUUUGGCGAAUUGUAGCAGAUUACAAGUACUGGCCUUUGGAUGGAACAGAUUUGCAGGAAAACUUCCAGGCUCGUUGGUUAAUCUAUCUACUAAUCUCCAUAUGCUGCAGAUUUCCAACAACAACAUAUCCGGUGUCAUCCCAUCAGAUAUUGGAAAUUUGGAAGGUCUUGAGAUGCUUGAUUUUGGGAAAAACUUACUCACUGGGGUCAUUCCUGAAAGCAUUGGGAAGCUUAUAGGAUUGCAGCAGCUAGGCCUCAAUUCAAACUACCUCUCAGGACAUCUACCAUCCUCCAUCGGAAACCUUUCUAGACUACUUCUACUUUAUGCAGACGACAACAGCUUUGAGGGUCCAAUUCCACCAAGCAUUGGAAACUUGAUCAAACUUUUAGCCCUAGAUCUGUCAAAUAGCAAUUUUACUGGAUUGAUUCCUAAGGAAAUUAUGGAGCUGCCAUCUAUCUCAAUGUUUCUCAAUUUGUCCAACAACAAGCUGGAGGGACCACUUCCAUUAGAAGUCGGUAGUUUGGUAUAUCUCGAAGAGCUCUUCCUAUCAGGAAACAAUUUGUCAGGUGAAAUACCUGACACUUUUGGCAACUGCAAACUCAUGCAAAUCCUCUUAAUGGAUGACAAUUCAUUUGAAGGAAGUAUCCCUGCUACAUUCAAGAACAUGGCAGGCUUGACUGUACUUAAUUUGAUGAACAACAAAUUGAAUGGAAGCAUCCCUAGCAACCUGGCUACUCUUACGAACCUACAGGAGUUAUAUCUUGGCCACAACAAUUUAUCCGGAGCAAUCCCAGAGGUUUUAGGUAAUUCAACAUCGCUGCUUCAUCUGGAUUUGUCCUACAACAAUUUGCAAGGUGAAGUACCAAAAGGAGGAGUCUUCAAAAAUCUAACUGGACUAUCAAUUGUUGGUAACAAUGCGUUAUGUGGGGGGAUACCACAGCUCCAUUUGCCAAAAUGCUCAAGCUUUUAUUUAAGAAAGAACAAGAAAGGCAUAUCCAAGUUUCUUAGAAUAGCAAUCCCAACAAUAGGAAGUCUCAUCUUACUUUUCCUGGUUUGGGCUGGAUUUCACCGCAGAAAGCCUAGGAUAGUACCGAAGAAAGAUUUGCCACCACAAUUUACGGAGAUAGAGCUUCCGAUAGUUCCCUACAAUGAUAUAUUGAAAGGAACAGAUGGAUUUUCUGAAGCAAAUGUGCUUGGAAAGGGAAGAUAUGGUACAGUUUACAAGGGCACAUUAGAAAAUCAAGCCAUUGUCAUUGCCGUAAAGGUGUUUAAUGUCCAGCAAUCAGGGUCCUACAAAAGCUUCCUCACUGAAUGUGAGGCACUAAGAAGAGUGAGGCAUCGUUGCCUUCUAAAGAUCAUUACAUGUUGUUCUAGCAUCAACCACCAGGGUCAAGACUUUAGAGCACUAGUCUUUGAGUUCAUGACUAAUGGCAGCCUAGAUGGAUGGGUCCACUCAAACUUGAAUGGCCAAAAUGGACAUAGAAUACUCAGUUUGUCACAGAGGAUGGUUAUCGCCGUGGACAUUAUGGAUGCUUUGGACUACCUUCACAAUGGUUGACAGCCAUCGAUCAUCCAUUGCGAUCUCAAGCCAAGUAACAUUCUUCUCAAUCAGGACAUGAGGGCUCGUGUUGGAGACUUUGGUAUUGCUACUAUUCUAGAUGAAGCAACAAGCAAACAUCCUACGAAUUUUGCGAGCACAUUAGGAAUAAAAGGUUCCAUCGGUUAUAUUGCUCCAGAAUAUGGAGAAGGUCUUGCGGUAUCGACUUGUGGUGACAUGUUUAGUCUUGGUAUCACCUUGCUAGAGAUGUUCACAGCAAAGAGGCCGACAGAUGAUAUGUUCAGAGAUGGUUUAAGCUUGCAUGGUUAUGCUGAGGCGGCUCUUCCUGACGAAGUUAUGGAGAUAGCAGAUUCCAACCUAUGGCUACAUGAUGAAGCAAGCAAUAACAAUGAUACAAGGCAUAUAAUGAGAACAAGGAAAUGUUUGUCCGCCAUCAUUCAGCUUGGUGUCCUUUGCUCAAAGCAAUUGCCCUCAGAGCGUUUGUCAAUAAGCGAUGCUACUGCAGAGAUGCAUGCUAUCAGAGAUAAGUAUAUUAGUGCUCAGAGAUGUCCAAUUGCACCAGAGUAACCACUACCUUUAUAUUGACUACCAUGUUUCCCCAAAUUUAUUACUCCAUAUGUAAUAUAUUUUCUUCUUUUGCGUGAGUUGUAGACCUUAUAUCAGCUGUACGGUGCUGUGUUGCCCAUAUCAUAGGCAGCAUCAUUCAUGAAUCACUGUAGAAAUGUUGAUUAUCCUGAGAAAAUUGCACAUUUAUGACUAGUUCGCACCUCAAAGUUGAACUUGAACCCCGCCAUUAAAAAAAAAGAUGAAUUGCAAAUUCCCCACUAAAACGAUCAGCCUUAGUCCAUUCCGUCAGUCACUGCUAUAGUGCUCUGCAUCAUGGAACCCUGUUUCAACCGUGGUCAGAU